GAGGGUAUAGCUCAGUGGUAGAGUGCAUGCUUAGCAUGCAUGAGGUCCUGGGUUCAAAUCACAGAACCUCCA
This 72-nucleotide transfer RNA is filed under the name Camelus bactrianus (Bactrian camel). It matches the Rfam family "tRNA". Rfam says of the family: Transfer RNA (tRNA) molecules are approximately 80 nucleotides in length. Lineage: Eukaryota; Metazoa; Chordata; Mammalia; Artiodactyla; Camelidae. RNAcentral also lists the same sequence under 2 other names. The record is from Rfam by way of RNAcentral.